CCCUAAGAGUUCGGGCCGCACGCGCGCUACACUGAUGAAGUCAGCGAGUUUAUAACCUUGGCCGGAAGGUCUGGGUAAACUUUUGAAACUUCAUCGUGCUGGGGAUAGAGCAUUGUAAUUAUUGCUCUUCAACGAGGAAUUCCUAGUAAGCGCAAGUCAUCAGCUUGCGUUGAUUACGUCCCUGCCCUUUGUACACACCGCCCGUCGCUACUACCGAUUGAAUGGUUAUAGUGAGCAUAUGGGAUCAGCAGAUUUAGACUGGCAACAGUUUUUGCCUGCAGAGAACUAUGGCAAACUAGGCUAUUUAGAGGAAGUAAAAGUCGUAACAAGGUUUCCGUAGGUGAACCUGCGGAAGGAUCAUUAAAUAAUUUGAUAAUUAUACAAUUAUCUAAUUUACUGUGAACUGUUUUAUUCAUGACGCUAUGGGGAUGACUGCAUGCCAUAAGGGUAGGUAUGCAGAAUGUUAACCUAGUCAUAGUCAGGCUUGAUGCUUGGUACCCUAUUAUUAUUUACCAAAAGAAUUCAGUUUAAUAAACGUAACAUAGAUCUAAACAAUCUAUAAAACAACUUUUAACAACGGAUCUCUUGGUUCUCGCAUCGAUGAAGAACGUAGCAAAGUGCGAUAACUAGUGUGAAUUGCAUAUUCAGUGAAUCAUCGAGUCUUUGAACGCAACUUGCACUCAUUGGUAUUCCAAUGAGUACCCUGUUUCAGUAUCAAAAAAUUACCCUUAUUCAAAUAUUUUGUUUUGAAUAGAGUUGAGUGUAGUAAGCGUAUAGCUUAAGACACUUUUAAUGGACUAUGGCUGGAGCUUUUUCCCUGCCUAUAUUUUUUUUAAUUUAAAAAAAAAAAAACCGUAAAAUGGUAGUAAGGGGCCCCCAAAAAACUUUUUUAACUUGAUCUGAAACGGGGGGAUUACCCCUGAACUUAACCUUUCAUAAGCGGGGGAAAAAAAAUAACAUGGUUUUCCUUUACGG
This 975-nucleotide ribosomal RNA is filed under the name Mucoraceae sp. LM402. RNAcentral's name for it is "bacterial SSU rRNA". The stretch from base 1 to 363 matches the Rfam family "Eukaryotic small subunit ribosomal RNA", at positions 1470 to 1831 of the family's 1831-position model. Lineage: Eukaryota; Fungi; Mucoromycota; Mucoromycetes; Mucorales; Mucoraceae. The record is from RNAcentral.